AGCACUGAAAAUAUACUGAAAACUCCAGAUAGCCUAAAACUCCCAAAAUCACUGUUCCACUGAAUUUGUAGAGUGAUCUCGAAGGUUCAGGUUUUGAAAUUCAAUUUCCAGUUUGAAUAAGGUUGAAAAAUGGCUUGAAUAGUCAUGUUUCAGUUAUUGUGGUUUCUAGAAGUUCCUGGGGUCAUUUCUGGGUUUAUUUGAGUUCAUUCGAGCUGGUUUUGGGAGUUUCACUGGUAUUGUUCAUUUGAAAUUAAUUGCUAGUCUAUUGAGAUAUCAUUUCUGGGUCAAAGUUAGUGCAAAGCUGAUAUUGUUGCUUAUUGUUGUUGGCUAUUGUUUACUGCUGAUGACUUCUUCCUUUUCUUAUUUUGAUUCAAAUUCCAUAUAUAUUUUUGGUAUCUAGUAAUAUUUAGUGAUUGGAACAGCAUAUUUGAAGAUGAAUAAUAGAUCCUGA
RNAcentral lists this long non-coding RNA (451 nucleotides) under Nicotiana benthamiana. RNAcentral's name for it is "long non-coding RNA (NBEN_LNC017458)". Lineage: Eukaryota; Viridiplantae; Streptophyta; Magnoliopsida; Solanales; Solanaceae. The record is from RNAcentral.